GAUUAAUUUCCCUACAAAAUCCACCAAACCAUUAAGAGGAUCGGACCCUGGAUAACUCUACAGCCUCCAAGUUCAGCCCCAAAAGCCUUCAAGCCAAGCUCUGAGAAUCCUUCGGUUUACUCUUCCUCUUUGUCUUCGAUUUUCUUCAAAGAGAGUUAUGUGGAUGGGGAUGGGAAACAAGAUGAAAUUGUUGAUCAGGGUUGAGGAGAACGUGAUGGAGAGGAAGAUAGAUACUAAGGCCAUGGCUUGUCGAUAUUGAAGGCAGAUAUUGAAGGCAGAUAGAGAAGAGUGGUGUUAGGAAUGUGACCUGAAAAUUGAGGGCACAAGAGAUGGCAGUGAUUCAGAAAAGAGAGGAGGAAUACAAACGAGUUUAGAGCUAAGAAGAGAUUGUGUUUUCUAUAAAUAAGAUAUUUAUGUUUUGUAAUUCAUAACAGAUUCUUAGCACUAGAUACUACUAGCCAAAUGAUGCUCUGAAAGAUUGGAAACGAUAUGAUUUUGUUUUAAUAUAUUUAUGCUUUGUGAUUUUGUUUUAA
Erythranthe guttata (spotted monkey flower) is the source of this 533-nucleotide long non-coding RNA. RefSeq lists it as uncharacterized. NCBI's taxonomy places the organism in Eukaryota, Viridiplantae, Streptophyta, Magnoliopsida, Lamiales, Phrymaceae. The record is from RefSeq and is a predicted model, not a curated record.